Molecule: ribosomal RNA, 2897 nt
Filed under: Shigella flexneri
Lineage: Bacteria; Pseudomonadati; Pseudomonadota; Gammaproteobacteria; Enterobacterales; Enterobacteriaceae
Description: partial 23S ribosomal RNA
Rfam family: Bacterial large subunit ribosomal RNA
Source: RNAcentral
CGACUAAGCGUACACGGUGGAUGCCCUGGCAGUCAGAGGCGAUGAAGGACGUGCUAAUCUGCGAUAAGCGUCGGUAAGGUGAUAUGAACCGUUAUAACCGGCGAUUUCCGAAUGGGGAAACCCAGUGUGAUUCGUCACACUAUCAUUAACUGAAUCCAUAGGUUAAUGAGGCGAACCGGGGGAACUGAAACAUCUAAGUACCCCGAGGAAAAGAAAUCAACCGAGAUUCCCCCAGUAGCGGCGAGCGAACGGGGAGCAGCCCAGAGCCUGAAUCAGUGUGUGUGUUAGUGGAAGCGUCUGGAAAGGCGUGCGAUACAGGGUGACAGCCCCGUACACAAAAAUGCACAUACUGUGAGCUCGAUGAGUAGGGCGGGACACGUGGUAUCCUGUCUGAAUAUGGGGGGACCAUCCUCCAAGGCUAAAUACUCCUGACUGACCGAUAGUGAACCAGUACCGUGAGGGAAAGGCGAAAAGAACCCCGGCGAGGGGAGUGAAAAAGAACCUGAAACCGUGUACGUACAAGCAGUGGGAGCACGCUUAGGCGUGUGACUGCGUACCUUUUGUAUAAUGGGUCAGCGACUUAUAUUCUGUAGCAAGGUUAACCGAAUAGGGGAGCCGAAGGGAAACCGAGUCUUAACUGGGCGUUAAGUUGCAGGGUAUAGACCCGAAACCCGGUGAUCUAGCCAUGGGCAGGUUGAAGGUUGGGUAACACUAACUGGAGGACCGAACCGACUAAUGUUGAAAAAUUAGCGGAUGACUUGUGGCUGGGGGUGAAAGGCCAAUCAAACCGGGAGAUAGCUGGUUCUCCCCGAAAGCUAUUUAGGUAGCGCCUCGUGAAUUCAUCUCCGGGGGUAGAGCACUGUUUCGGCAAGGGGGUCAUCCCGACUUACCAACCCGAUGCAAACUGCGAAUACCGGAGAAUGUUAUUACGGGAGACACACGGCGGGUGCUAACGUCCGUCGUGAAGAGGGAAACAACCCAGACCGCCAGCUAAGGUCCCAAAGUCAUGGUUAAGUGGGAAACGAUGUGGGAAGGCCCAGACAGCCAGGAUGUUGGCUUAGAAGCAGCCAUCAUUUAAAGAAAGCGUAAUAGCUCACUGGUCGAGUCGGCCUGCGCGGAAGAUGUAACGGGGCUAAACCAUGCACCGAAGCUGCGGCAGCGACGCUUAUGCGUUGUUGGGUAGGGGAGCGUUCUGUAAGCCUGUGAAGGUGUGCUGUGAGGUAUGCUGGAGGUAUCAGAAGUGCGAAUGCUGACAUAAGUAACGAUAAAGCGGGUGAAAAGCCCGCUCGCCGGAAGACCAAGGGUUCCUGUCCAACGUUAAUCGGGGCAGGGUGAGUCGACCCCUAAGGCGAGGCCGAAAGGCGUAGUCGAUGGGAAACAGGUUAAUAUUCCUGUACUUGGUGUUACUGCGAAGGGGGGACGGAGAAGGCUAUGUUGGCCGGGCGACGGUUGUCCCGGUUUAAGCGUGUAGGCUGGUUUUCCAGGCAAAUCCGGAAAAUCAAGGCCGAGGCGUGAUGACGAGGCACUACGGUGCUGAAGCAACAAAUGCCCUGCUUCCAGGAAAAGCCUCUAAGCAUCAGGUAACAUCAAAUCGUACCCCAAACCGACACAGGUGGUCAGGUAGAGAAUACCAAGGCGCUUGAGAGAACUCGGGUGAAGGAACUAGGCAAAAUGGUGCCGUAACUUCGGGAGAAGGCACGCUGAUACGUAGGUGAAGCGACUUGCUCGUGGAGCUGAAAUCAGUCGAAGAUACCAGCUGGCUGCAACUGUUUAUUAAAAACACAGCACUGUGCAAACACGAAAGUGGACGUAUACGGUGUGACGCCUGCCCGGUGCCGGAAGGUUAAUUGAUGGGGUUAGCGCAAGCGAAGCUCUUGAUCGAAGCCCCGGUAAACGGCGGCCGUAACUAUAACGGUCCUAAGGUAGCGAAAUUCCUUGUCGGGUAAGUUCCGACCUGCACGAAUGGCGUAAUGAUGGCCAGGCUGUCUCCACCCGAGACUCAGUGAAAUUGAACUCGCUGUGAAGAUGCAGUGUACCCGCGGCAAGACGGAAAGACCCCGUGAACCUUUACUAUAGCUUGACACUGAACAUUGAGCCUUGAUGUGUAGGAUAGGUGGGAGGCUUUGAAGUGUGGACGCCAGUCUGCAUGGAGCCGACCUUGAAAUACCACCCUUUAAUGUUUGAUGUUCUAACGUGGACCCGUGAUCCGGGUUGCGGACAGUGUCUGGUGGGUAGUUUGACUGGGGCGGUCUCCUCCUAAAGAGUAACGGAGGAGCACGAAGGUUGGCUAAUCCUGGUCGGACAUCAGGAGGUUAGUGCAAUGGCAUAAGCCAGCUUGACUGCGAGCGUGACGGCGCGAGCAGGUGCGAAAGCAGGUCAUAGUGAUCCGGUGGUUCUGAAUGGAAGGGCCAUCGCUCAACGGAUAAAAGGUACUCCGGGGAUAACAGGCUGAUACCGCCCAAGAGUUCAUAUCGACGGCGGUGUUUGGCACCUCGAUGUCGGCUCAUCACAUCCUGGGGCUGAAGUAGGUCCCAAGGGUAUGGCUGUUCGCCAUUUAAAGUGGUACGCGAGCUGGGUUUAGAACGUCGUGAGACAGUUCGGUCCCUAUCUGCCGUGGGCGCUGGAGAACUGAGGGGGGCUGCUCCUAGUACGAGAGGACCGGAGUGGACGCAUCACUGGUGUUCGGGUUGUCAUGCCAAUGGCACUGCCCGGUAGCUAAAUGCGGAAGAGAUAAGUGCUGAAAGCAUCUAAGCACGAAACUUGCCCCGAGAUGAGUUCUCCCUGACCCUUUAAGGGUCCUGAAGGAACGUUGAAGACGACGACGUUGAUAGGCCGGGUGUGUAAGCGCAGCGAUGCGUUGAGCUAACCGGUACUAAUGAACCGUGAGGCUUAACCUU